UAUUCUGCCCCAUGGGGAAGGAUGAGAAGCUUCGACUAAGGUUCGACUCGAGCGAAGCGAGAGAACGUUGCCGCUGGCCCGAAGGCGAGGCGCUUUAGCGCCGAGUAAUCCUUCCCCCACCACUG
This 125-nucleotide small RNA is filed under the name Klebsiella pneumoniae. RNAcentral describes it as "RtT sRNA". It matches the Rfam family "RtT RNA". Rfam says of the family: This family represents a bacterial cis-regulatory element known as RtT RNA. The exact function of RtT is unknown although it is thought that it may be involved in changing the cellular response in relation to amino acid starvation. The record is from RNAcentral. Lineage: Bacteria; Pseudomonadati; Pseudomonadota; Gammaproteobacteria; Enterobacterales; Enterobacteriaceae.